Molecule: small nucleolar RNA, 105 nt
Filed under: Gossypium hirsutum (cotton)
Lineage: Eukaryota; Viridiplantae; Streptophyta; Magnoliopsida; Malvales; Malvaceae
Description: Plant small nucleolar RNA R71
Rfam family: Plant small nucleolar RNA R71
About the family: R71 is a member of the C/D box family of snoRNAs containing the C (UGAUGA) and D (CUGA) box motifs. Multiple nearly identical copies of this snoRNA have been identified in Arabidopsis, and it is thought to function as a 2'-O-ribose methylation guide for 18S ribosomal RNA.
Source: Rfam by way of RNAcentral
AUUUUGUGAUGAUGGCAUCUUCAUAAUAGUUAUUUAAAUCUUUCCCAUACCUCAUAAAAGGAUUUGUCAUCCAUCUAUUGAAGGUAGUGACCUCAUUCCGUAACU